This 467-nucleotide ribosomal RNA is filed under the name uncultured bacterium. Its description in RNAcentral is "bacterial SSU rRNA". It matches the Rfam family "Bacterial small subunit ribosomal RNA", at positions 30 to 514 of the family's 1533-position model. The record is from RNAcentral.
CGAACGCUGGCGGCGUGCUUAACACAUGCAAGUCGAACGAUGAAGUGGAGCUUGCUCCACGGAUUAGUGGCGAACGGGUGAGGAACACGUGAGAAACCUGCCUCGGAUUUUGGGAUAACAAGUGGAAACGUUUGCUAAUACCAAAUAACGUCGGAGAGUCACAUGACUUUCUGACGAAAGGAAUUCCGAUUCGAGAGGGUCUCGCGGCCUAUCAGCUUGUUGGCGGGGUAAUGGCCCACCAAGGCAACGACGGGUAGCUGGUCUGAGAGGAUGGUCAGCCACACUGGGACUGAGACACGGCCCAGACUCCUACGGGGAGGCAGCAGUGGGGAAUCUUGCGCAAUGGGCGAAAGCCUGACGCAGCAACGCCGCGUGCGGGAAGAAGGCUUUCGGGCUGUAAACCGCUUUCAGCAGGAACGAAAUGACGGUACCUGCAGAAGAAGGAGCGGCCAACUAUGUGCCAGCAG